GAUGAACGCUGGCGGCGUGCUUAACACAUGCAAGUCGAACGAAGCACUUUAUUUGAUUUCCUUCGGGACUGAUUAUUUUGUGACUGAGUGGCGGACGGGUGAGUAACGCGUGGGUAACCUGCCUUGUACAGGGGGAUAACAGUUGGAAACGGCUGCUAAUACCGCAUAAGCGCACAGCAUCGCAUGAUGCAUUGUGAAAAACUCCGGUGGUAUAAGAUGGACCCGCGUUGGAUUAGCUAGUUGGUGAGGUAACGGCCCACCAAGGCGACGAUCCAUAGCCGACAUGAGAGGGUGACCGGCCACAUUGGGACUGAGACACGGCCCAAACUCCUACGGGAGGCAGCAGUGGGGAAUAUUGCACAAUGGGCGAAAGCCUGAUGCAGCGACGCCGCGUGAGCGAAGAAGUAUUUCGGUAUGUAAAGCUCUAUCAGCAGGGAAGAUAAUGACGGUACCUGACGAAGAAGCACCGGCUAAAUACGUG
RNAcentral lists this ribosomal RNA (481 nucleotides) under uncultured bacterium. Its description in RNAcentral is "partial 16S ribosomal RNA". It matches the Rfam family "Bacterial small subunit ribosomal RNA", at positions 28 to 507 of the family's 1533-position model. The record is from RNAcentral.